GCUCCCAUCGUCUAGAGGCCCAGGACACGGGCUUUUCAAGCCCGGUACAUGGGUUCGAAUCCCAUUGGGAGCA
Parcubacteria group bacterium is the source of this 73-nucleotide non-coding RNA. The record is from Rfam.